RNAcentral lists this ribosomal RNA (262 nucleotides) under uncultured bacterium. RNAcentral describes it as "partial 16S ribosomal RNA". It matches the Rfam family "Bacterial small subunit ribosomal RNA", at positions 92 to 354 of the family's 1533-position model. The record is from RNAcentral.
UUAGUGGCGGACGGGUGAGUAACGCGUGGGCAACCUGCCUUACACAGGGGGAUAACACUUAGAAAUAGGUGCUAAAACCGCAUAAGCGCACAGCUUCGCAUGAAGCGGUGUGAAAAACUCCGGUGGUGUAAGAUGGACCCGCGUCUGAUUAGCUUGUUGGCGGGGUAACGGCCCACCAAGGCGACGAUCAGUAGCCGGCCUGAGAGGGCGGACGGCCACAUUGGGACUGAGACACGGCCCAGACUCCUACGGAAGGCAGCAG